Molecule: long non-coding RNA, 864 nt
Organism: Dunckerocampus dactyliophorus (ringed pipefish)
Lineage: Eukaryota; Metazoa; Chordata; Actinopteri; Syngnathiformes; Syngnathidae
Exons: 3
Source: RefSeq, a predicted model, not a curated record
GGAUGUUCUGCUGGAGCUCCUCACAGUCCAACAGGUCUCCAUCGCGAGCCAAAGCCGAAAGCGAGUUAGCUUGCGCGGCGAGAGAUUGCCUGCUUGCUGCUAUCUCUGCUGACCUUCAGCUCUGGAGACAGAGUCUAUAUGUCUUGCCUUCAGGGGAGUGGAACUGGGGAGUCCCGCUAGCUGUUUAUACUUGCGGCCGCUUGUCGCCCACAUGCGUAGGCAGAGAGGAUCCUCACAUACGUCAGCCUGGGAGGAGGGAUGACAGGCGCCGGAGGAAGGGCCAAGAAAGGGUUUGUCAAGUUGUACUCACAUUCCCAAGAAUCGAGUCACCGUGGUGCCCAAGUGGUCGAAGAUGAAGCCACUGGCCAGAAAUUCAAGGUUACAGUGGAGAUAAGCAAACUGACCUAAGACCUGUGAGCCAUUGAUUCCUGUGGUGUUGACGCACAGGGAGCCGAAGUAGCCCUCAUUCUUGAGGACAAAAACAAGUGAAGCCCACCCAAAUAUGAUGCCUGCAAAACACAGACACUCCACCAGGCCCGUGAUGAAGGUGAGGCCUCGUCGCACCCACAACAGGUUCUGAGAGUCUACCAUGGUGCCAGCUUCUGUCAUCAUGCACACACACUGUGUUCACACCUGGCCUCCUCACUGCCAAAACCGCAGAUGGAAGUACAGUAAUUGAACUGCACCUUUUCAAUCCAUUUCCACACACACACAGAAAAAAUGUAGCCUAUUAGGUCCAAUAAUUAUUUUUUUUAAUAACAAAUAAACUGACAUUGUAACAACAUAAAAAAAAAGUAAUACUGACCUUUGAUGCUCACGUUUCUACCUUGGAGUCUCUCACAUCUCUGUUCUCCUGACUCACGC